AUGCUUGCUUCAACAGCACAUAUGCUAAAAUUGCAAUGAUACGGAGAUCAGCAUGGCCCCUGUGCAAGAGUGACAUGCAUAUUUGUGAUGUGUUCCAUGUUCUU
This 104-nucleotide small nuclear RNA is filed under the name Sus scrofa (pig). Lineage: Eukaryota; Metazoa; Chordata; Mammalia; Artiodactyla; Suidae. The record is from RNAcentral.